AUGAUUCUUCUAAGUUGGAACUGCCGGGGAGGGGGGAAUUCCCGGACAGUUCGUGAACUAGCGACUUUAUGCCAGUCGCAUUCCCCCACUUUGGUGUUCUUGUGUGAAACUAGGCAGAAAAGUGAGAAGAUGAAGAGGAUUCGGGGCCGUCUUGGCUUGAAGGGUUUUAGUGGUAUUGAUAGUGAUGGCAUGAGCGGUGGACUUGCACUUUUUUGGCAUGAA
RNAcentral lists this ribosomal RNA (222 nucleotides) under Triticum aestivum (bread wheat). RNAcentral's name for it is "partial small subunit ribosomal RNA". The record is from RNAcentral. Lineage: Eukaryota; Viridiplantae; Streptophyta; Magnoliopsida; Poales; Poaceae.